AGCUCAACCAGGCAGAGCACCUGACUCUUAAUCAGUAGGUUGAAGGUUCGAUUCCUUCA
This 59-nucleotide transfer RNA is filed under the name Deltaproteobacteria bacterium. RNAcentral describes it as "tRNA-Lys". It matches the Rfam family "tRNA", at positions 9 to 63 of the family's 71-position model. From Rfam's summary of the family: Transfer RNA (tRNA) molecules are approximately 80 nucleotides in length. Their secondary structure includes four short double-helical elements and three loops (D, anti-codon, and T loops). The record is from RNAcentral. Lineage: Bacteria; Pseudomonadati; Myxococcota; Myxococcia.